GACGAACGCUGGCGGCGUGCUUAACACAUGCAAGUCGAACGAGACCCCGUCUUCGGGUGGGUGUUCUAGUGGCGAACGGGUGAGUAACACGUGGGCAACCUGCCCCCGGCUCUGGGAUAACUCCAAGAAAGUUGGGGCUAAUACCGGAUAUUUCCGCUGACCGCAUGGUCUGGUGGUGGAAAGGGUUUCCGGCUGGGGAUGGGCCCGCGGCCUAUCAGCUUGUUGGUGGGGUAGUGGCCUACCAAGGCGACGACGGGUAGCCGGCCUGAGAGGGUGACCGGCCACACUGGGACUGAGACACGGCCCAGACUCCGUACGGGGGCAGCAGUGAGGAAUUUUCGUCAAGUGGGGGCAACCCUGAACGAGCAACGCCGCGUGCAGGAUGACACUUUU
Molecule: ribosomal RNA, 393 nt
Filed under: uncultured bacterium
Lineage: Bacteria
Description: bacterial SSU rRNA
Rfam family: Bacterial small subunit ribosomal RNA
Source: RNAcentral